CAGCAGCCGCGGUAAAACGUAGGGGGCUAGCGUUAUCCGGAUUUACUGGGCGUAAAGGGUGCGUAGGUGGUCCUUCAAGUCGGUGGUUAAAGGCUACGGCUCAACCGUAGUAAGCCGCCGAAACUGGAGGACUUGAGUGCAGGAGAGGAAAGUGGAAUUCCCAGUGUAGCGGUGAAAUGCGUAGAUAUUGGGAGGAACACCAGUAGCGAAGGCGGCUUUCUGGACUGCAACUGACACUGAGGCACGAAAGCGUGGGUAGCAAACAGGAUUAGAUACCCCGGUAGUCCCUGUCUCUUAUACA
This 301-nucleotide ribosomal RNA is filed under the name uncultured bacterium. RNAcentral's name for it is "partial 16S ribosomal RNA". It matches the Rfam family "Bacterial small subunit ribosomal RNA", at positions 509 to 808 of the family's 1533-position model. The record is from RNAcentral.